Molecule: ribosomal RNA, 506 nt
Filed under: uncultured bacterium
Lineage: Bacteria
Description: partial 16S ribosomal RNA
Rfam family: Bacterial small subunit ribosomal RNA
Source: RNAcentral
ACUCAAAGGAAUUGACGGGGGCCCGCACAAGCGGUGGAGCAUGUGGUUUAAUUCGACGCAACGCGAAGAACCUUACCUGGGCUCGAAAUGCUAUGGACCAGCUGGUGAAAGCCGGCCUUCCCGCAAGGGACUGUAGUAUAGGUGCUGCAUGGCUGUCGUCAGCUCGUGUCGUGAGAUGUUGGGUUAAGUCCCGCAACGAGCGCAACCCUUGUCCUGUGUUGCCAGGCUCCCUUAAAAGAGCCGGAACUCGCAGGAGACCGCCAGGGAUAACCUGGAGGAAGGUGGGGAUGACGUCAAGUCCUCAUGGCCUUUAUGUCCAGGGCUACACACGUGCUACAAUGGACGGUACAAAGGGCUGCCAACCCGCGAGGGGGAGCCAAUCCCAAAAAACCGUUCUCAGUUCGGAUUGCAGGCUGCAACUCGCCUGCAUGAAGCUGGAAUCGCUAGUAAUGCUGGAUCAGAACGCCAGCGUGAAUACGUUCCCGGGCCUUGCACACACCGCCCGU